AUUGAACGCUGGCGGCAGGCCUAACACAUGCAAGUCGAGCGGAUGAAGGGAGCUUGCUCCUGGAUUCAGCGGCGGACGGGUGAGUAAUGCCUAGGAAUCUGCCUGGUAGUGGGGGAUAACGUCCGGAAACGGGCGCUAAUACCGCCUACGUCCUGAGGGAGAAAGUGGGGGAUCUUCGGACCUCACGCUAUCAGAUGAGCCUAGGUCGGAUUAGCUAGUUGGUGGGGUAAAGGCCUACCAAGGCGACGAUCCGUAACUGGUCUGAGAGGAUGAUCAGUCACACUGGAACUGAGACACGGUCCAGACUCCUACGGGAGGCAGCAGUGGGGAAUAUUGGACAAUGGGCGAAAGCCUGAUCCAGCCAGGCCGCGUGUGUGAAGAAGGUCUUCGGAUUGUAAAGCACUUUAAGUGGGGAGGAAGGGCAGUAAGUUAAUACCUUGCUGUUUUGACGUUACCAACAGAAUAAGCACCGGCUAACUUCGUG
Molecule: ribosomal RNA, 484 nt
Filed under: uncultured bacterium
Lineage: Bacteria
Description: partial 16S ribosomal RNA
Rfam family: Bacterial small subunit ribosomal RNA
Source: RNAcentral